UAAGUGUCUGUGUUUGAUUAUUGUAAGUAUUGUGCCUUUUAUUAACCCCGUUUCGUAAGCAGACAAGCGACUCGUUUUGACAAUAUGCUUAUAAAAUGAAUGCAAUAUCAGCUAAACUGGUUUAUUUAACGAUAGCUUCGAACGCGACAGUAUAUUAAUCGUAAAGUAAGCGUUAGCAUUGAUGCGAUACAUUUUGAGACAUUGAAAAUAGCUUGGCAUAGCGUUUGCUAUACACAUUCAAUGACGAACAUUUUGGAAAAACUUCUUAAGUUUCGAAUGUAUUCUUGGCGAAAAUCAUAUCGCUGCUGGAUGAUCAAAUAAACCGAUUCAUUGAAGCCGAAAUCAAUCACAUCAAAAAAAAGUGAAAUAUUGUGAAGAAAUCAUGACAUCAAAAUCAUUUAAAUCUGCUUCAAUGAAAAAUCUAAGCAAUCCAGCCGCUUCAUUCAUUGUUCCAUUGGAUUUCGAAUCGCUUGGUAACGCAUGUUCCAAACUUUUCGAUGAUCCUCAUCACAAUGAACAAGAAAAGUUAAGAAUAGUUCGACAGAGCCUACAUCGAUACAUUUUCAUCAUAUGCCAUACAAUUCAGCACUUUGGACAUCAUCUCACAACCAACGAAAUUAUUUUGGUGGAAAAAGCAUGUGAAAAAACGCUGCAAUGGAUGUGGCAUUGUGAGACGAAAACUUUGAUUGAUUUUCGACAACAUAUUAUACAAUUACUGCGCAUUUGUACGCCAUUAAUGAAACGUUUAUUCCGUAAUGAACAACAAAGCAAUAUCGAGAGAAAUUGCCAAUAAGAUGUACGCUACAAUUGCGAUUUGUGUUUUGGAAUUUAAUAGAAUGUAUAAUUGUACAUAUUCAAUAUGCAUGUGUAUUGGAAUGUAGAUGAAACGUUUUUAAUCGUUUUUAAUAAAGCAAAAUGCGAUGUAAAAGAAA
This is a long non-coding RNA of Contarinia nasturtii (swede midge), 932 nucleotides long. RefSeq lists it as uncharacterized. NCBI's taxonomy places the organism in Eukaryota, Metazoa, Arthropoda, Insecta, Diptera, Cecidomyiidae. The transcript is spliced from 2 exons. The record is from RefSeq and is a predicted model, not a curated record.